Molecule: non-coding RNA, 27 nt
Filed under: Xenopus tropicalis (tropical clawed frog)
Lineage: Eukaryota; Metazoa; Chordata; Amphibia; Anura; Pipidae
Also listed under: 7 other names
Source: RNAcentral
CCUGGUGGUCUAGUGGUUAGGAUUCGG